RNAcentral lists this ribosomal RNA (433 nucleotides) under uncultured bacterium. Its description in RNAcentral is "bacterial SSU rRNA". It matches the Rfam family "Bacterial small subunit ribosomal RNA", at positions 355 to 786 of the family's 1533-position model. The record is from RNAcentral.
UGAGGAAUAUUGGUCAAUGGGCGGGAGCCUGAACCAGCCAAGCCGCGUGAGGGAGGAAGGCCCUAUGGGUCGUAAACCUCUUUUGUCAGGGAACAAAAGCGAGUAUGUAUACUAGUCUGAGUGUACCUGAAGAAAAACGCAUCGGCUAACUCCGUGCCAGCAGCCGCGGUAAUACGGAGGAUGCGAGCGUUAUCCGGAUUUAUUGGGUUUAAAGGGUGCGUAGGCGGCGGUGCAAGUCAGCGGUAAAAGCCCGGGGCUCAACCCCGGCGAGCCGUUGAAACUGCAGUGCUAGAGAAGGCGAGAGGUACGCGGAAUGCGCAGUGUAGCGGUGAAAUGCUUAGAUAUUGCGCAGACUCCGAUUGCGGAGGCAGCGUACUGGCGCCUGACUGACGCUGAGGCACGAAAGUGUGGGGAGCAAACAGGAUUAGAUACC